Molecule: RNA transcript, 1133 nt
Organism: Nicotiana attenuata
Lineage: Eukaryota; Viridiplantae; Streptophyta; Magnoliopsida; Solanales; Solanaceae
Gene name: soluble starch synthase 3, chloroplastic/amyloplastic-like
Exons: 5
Source: RefSeq, a predicted model, not a curated record
AAAAAAUUCCCUCCAUUAUUUCAUUGAGCGAAAGUUUCCCCCUAUUUUCAAAGGCAAAAGAAAUUAAUACUUUCUCAAAUUUUCAUUCAACCCCUCUACUUAGUAUUGACCCAUAAAUCUCCAUCUAGCCACCACCACGCCGCUGGUUCCACUCCUACCAAAUCUAGCACCGACUGGAAUUUUCUUCUCCAUUGACCCAAUACCUACAUCUAAGAAAGAGAAAUUUCAGCAUUCAAAAGGGAAGUGCCAGACAACUGUUUCAGCGUUUGCAGGGGCCAAUGGAAGAGGAUACGCUCAAAUCUCAUUUUGAGAAGAUCAUCUUGAUUGGGAAGAAAUAUCUUUUACGGAGGAUUUAGGAAGAAGUUGGCAAGGAUGACUGUGUUAGAGACAAAGCUAUGGAUGUUGAUUCUGCUACAGGUGCAUCCAACUAGGGAAAGACAAAUCAAGCUUGGGUUUCAGGUGCAUUUCAAGGCAGCCUCCAGGAACUGGUCAGAUUUGAUACAGUGAGAGUCAUCUUUCUCUGCAGGUUUGCGUGACUGCUGUAGUUGUGCGAAAGCAGGCAAGUCAUUCAAUUAUUUUUACCACCUCCAUUCCAGCAGGAAAGCAAAGACUUUAUGAUACUGUAUUUGAUGUUGACCAUGACAAAGAGAGAGCACAACAGUGUGGUCUUGAACUAAAUGGAUUCAGCUUUGAUGGAGCUGAUGCUGUCGGAGUUGAUUAUGCUCUGAAUGGGGAAGUAUAUUUUCUUUUUUCAUUUAAGGUCUUUUAGUCUUUGCAUUUUUAGCUAUGUUGCUCCGACAUGGCAAUUCAUGUAUUGCAUGGUUACUCAUUAUUCAUUUUUUUUAUGUGACUGAAAAAUAUAUAAAACAUGGUGCUACUAUAUGUUAUCCUAGUAUUUGUUCUUCUUGACAAAAGAUCAAAGUUUAAUUUCUAUCUAAGUAUAAUUUUUUUUAUGUGUAGGAUAAUAUGGGUGAUGCUACUGGAAAUGGUGGCGGAAUGUCAAUUUGAUCUUAAUGUGAAUGCGAAGAAUUAUUGGAUAAUUAGGAUGUCUAAUAUUCAUGAUACUAUAUGAAUAUACUCACUUUUGUAAAGUUUAUUGUUAAUGGGCAUUUUGAUUCAUUGUUUUGUUAGUA